CAUAAAAUAGUUUUCUUUCUGAAAAAAAUAAUUUUUCCAUUCUCAGAUUACACGAAAACGUGUUCUUUUUAUUUUCAAAUUUUUUUAAUCCAAAAAUCGAAAACUAUGAAAGAAAAAAUUUCUACGAAAAACUUGCUUUUCCGAAAAAUAAUUUUUCAUCAUUAUUUCUCCAGAAACCAAACAUCCACCAAAUAUUAAAAAAAAAAAA
RNAcentral lists this long non-coding RNA (208 nucleotides) under Ananas comosus (pineapple). Its description in RNAcentral is "long non-coding RNA (ACOM_LNC009894)". The record is from RNAcentral. Lineage: Eukaryota; Viridiplantae; Streptophyta; Magnoliopsida; Poales; Bromeliaceae.